AGGGUUGGCAUUAGCCCUUGCUGCCUUUUUUCACCAAAGUCCAAAAGGUCGAGUCCUCACUCAGAAGUGCUGCUCUCCUUGAAAGUGUUGUUUGCCCGUGAAGUAGAAGAGCAAAUUGAGAACUACAACCCGAGCAGGUUAAGAAAAAUAGUGCUGUGUUCUAUGAAGUUGAGAAGCAUAUAGUGAUGAAAUACGAAGGUUGCUGGUGCCUUAAGUGGAUGUUCAUAACCAGUAAUGUGGAACGCUAAUGGUAUGCGAAUUACUGUGGAAAUAUCUAAGGCUUAAGCCAUGGAAGUUUUCAACAUUAAGAACUGAACAGGAAGAAUAAAAAUCUUUGAUCCUCGUGAAAUAUAUAUUCCUCCAUAUGUUUGCAGGAUUAUGUUUUGCUGUUUGUCUUAAGUUCCUUAGGCAGAAUAAGCAUCUAGUACUGUUCAGCUGAAGCUAAGUUGCCCUACUGAAUUUAGCUCUGUGCUUUGGCUCAGAGAGUGGAAGGUUCAAGGGAUAAUACAUGAUACAACUAUUCAAUGAAAGGUCAGAAUUUCAAUUCUCUCAUUCUGAAUUUUAAAAUGAGUCUGAAACAUUGCGUGCUGAUCAUCAAGUUCUCUGCUAAAGCAGUGGGGUUGACCUGAACUCAUGCAGCAUAGGGACGAAAAGAGGAAGAUGAGCUUUUGCCUUGGGUUUCUGCAAACUCACACCAUAAGGUCUGGAACACUUCUAGCCUAUUUUCAGUACAGGCUGUUGAAAUUUUGUUUGUAAAGGACUUCUUCAGCCAACCAGACAAAUUUCUGUGGAGGAUGU
Long non-coding RNA from Hirundo rustica (Barn swallow), 798 nucleotides. RefSeq lists it as uncharacterized. The transcript is spliced from 3 exons. Lineage: Eukaryota; Metazoa; Chordata; Aves; Passeriformes; Hirundinidae. The record is from RefSeq and is a predicted model, not a curated record.